RNAcentral lists this ribosomal RNA (453 nucleotides) under Gonodactylellus espinosus. RNAcentral's name for it is "partial 16S ribosomal RNA". It matches the Rfam family "Bacterial large subunit ribosomal RNA", at positions 1955 to 2607 of the family's 2925-position model. The record is from RNAcentral. Lineage: Eukaryota; Metazoa; Arthropoda; Malacostraca; Stomatopoda; Gonodactylidae.
GGUAGCAUAAUCAUUAGUCUCCUAAUUAGAGGCUUGUAUGAAUGGUCGGACAAGAUGGAGACUGUCUCAGCAUUAAAUAUAAAAUCUAAUAUUUAAGUAAAAAAGCUUAAAUAAUAUGGAGUGACGAUAAGACCCUAUAAAGCUUUAUGGUAUACCUUUUUUAUACAAAUUACAUAUUAUUAACCUAUUAAAAAAGUAAUAUCAUUUUACUGGGGCGGUAAAAGUAUAUUCGCUUAACUGCUUUUAUUAUUUAAAACAAUAAUAAUUGAACAAUCCAUUGAUCCAUUAAUAAUGAUCAUAAGGCCAAGUUACUUUAGGGAUAACAGCGUAAUUUUUCUUGAGAGUCCUCAUCGAAAGAAAAGUUUGCGACCUCGAUGUUGAAUUAAGGAAGCUCUAAGGUGCAGCAGUUUUAGUAGGCAGAUCUGUUCGAUCUUUAAAUCUUUACAUGAUUUG